AGGGAAUUUUGGACAAUGGGCGAAAGCCUGAUCCAGCAAUGCCGCGUGUGUGAAGAAGGCCUUCGGGUUGUAAAGCACUUUUGUCCGGAAAGAAAUCCUCUGGGUUAAUACCUCGGGGGGAUGACGGUACCGGAAGAAUAAGCACCGGCUAACUACGUGCCAGCAGCCGCGGUAAUACGUAGGGUGCAAGCGUUAAUCGGAAUUACUGGGCGUAAAGCGUGCGCAGGCGGUUUUGUAAGACGGAUGUGAAAUCCCCGGGCUUAACCUGGGAACUGCAUUCGUGACUGCAAGGCUAGAGGAUGGCAGAGGGGGGUAGAAUUCCACGUGUAGCAGUGAAAUGCGUAGAGAUGUGGAGGAAUACCGAUGGCGAAGGCAGCCCCCUGGGCCAAUACUGACGCUCAUGCACGAAAGCGUGGGGAGCAAACA
RNAcentral lists this ribosomal RNA (426 nucleotides) under uncultured bacterium. RNAcentral's name for it is "bacterial SSU rRNA". It matches the Rfam family "Bacterial small subunit ribosomal RNA", at positions 356 to 774 of the family's 1533-position model. The record is from RNAcentral.